Molecule: ribosomal RNA, 492 nt
Filed under: uncultured bacterium
Lineage: Bacteria
Description: partial 16S ribosomal RNA
Rfam family: Bacterial small subunit ribosomal RNA
Source: RNAcentral
AUUGAACGCUGGCGGCAUGCUUUACACAUGCAAGUCGAACGGUAACAGGCCUUCGGGUGCUGACGAGUGGCGAACGGGUGAGUAAUGCAUCGGAACGUACCCAGAGGUGGGGGAUAACGCAGCGAAAGCUGUGCUAAUACCGCAUGUGAUCUGAGGAUGAAAGCGGGGGACCGAGCAGCAAUGUUUGGCCUCGCGCCUUUGGAGCGGCCGAUGUCGGAUUAGCUAGUUGGUGGGGUAAAGGCCUACCAAGGCGACGAUCCGUAGCUGGUCUGAGAGGGCGACCAGCCACACUGGGACUGAGACACGGCCCAGACUCCUACGGGAGGCAGCAAUGGGGAAUUUUGGACAAUGGGCGCAAGCCUGAUCCAGCAAUGCCGCGUGCGGGAAGAAGGCCUUCGGGUUGUAAACCGCUUUUGGCAGGAACGAAACGGUGUCCGCUAAUACCGGGCGCUAAUGACGGUACCUGCAGAAUAAGCACCGGCUAACUACGUG